GAUGAACGCUGGCGGCGUGCCUAAUACAUGCAAGUCGAACGCUGGAAAUCUAGCUUGCUAGAUUGAAGGAGUGGCGAACGGGUGAGUAAUACAUAAGCAACCUACCCACGAAGACUGGGAUAAUCUCUGGAAACGGGGACUAAUACCGGAUAGGUAAUCGGAAGGCAUCUUCUGAUUAUUAAAGGUUAAAAACACUGGUGGAUGGGCUUAUGGCGCAUUAGUUAGUUGGUGAGGUAACGGCCCACCAAGACGAUGAUGCGUAGCCGGCCUGAGAGGGUGAACGGCCACAUUGGGACUGAGACACGGCCCAGACUCCUACGGGAGGCAGCAGUAGGGAAUUUUCGGCAAUGGGGGAAACCCUGACCGAGCAACGCCGCGUGAGUGAUGACGGCCUUCGGGUUGUAAAGCUCUGUUGUAAGGGAAGAACGGUAGAUAGAGAAUAUCUAAAUGACGGUACCUUAACAGAAAGCCACGGCUAACUACGUG
This 486-nucleotide ribosomal RNA is filed under the name uncultured bacterium. RNAcentral's name for it is "partial 16S ribosomal RNA". It matches the Rfam family "Bacterial small subunit ribosomal RNA", at positions 28 to 507 of the family's 1533-position model. The record is from RNAcentral.